Molecule: ribosomal RNA, 484 nt
Filed under: uncultured bacterium
Lineage: Bacteria
Description: partial 16S ribosomal RNA
Rfam family: Bacterial small subunit ribosomal RNA
Source: RNAcentral
AUUGAACGCUGGCGGCAGGCCUAACACAUGCAAGUCGAGCGGAUGAAGGGAGCUUGCUCCUGGAUUCAGCGGCGGACGGGUGGGUAAUGCCUAGGAAUCUGCCUGGUAGUGGGGGAUAACGUCCGGAAACGGGCGCUAAUACCGCAUACGUCCUGAGGGAGAAAGUGGGGGAUCUUCGGACCUCACUCUAUCAGAUGAGCCUAGGUCGGAUUAGCUAGUUGGUGGGGUAAAGGCCUACCAAGGCGACGAUCCGUAACUGGUCUGAGAGGAUGAUCAGUCACACUGGAACUGAGACACGGUCCAGACUCCUACGGGAGGCAGCAGUGGGGAAUAUUGGACAAUGGGCGAAAGCCUGAUCCAGACAUGCCGCAUGUGUGCAGAAGGUCUUCGGAUUGUAAAGCACUUUAAGUUGGGAGGAAGGGCAGUAAGUUCAUACCUUGCUGUUUUGACGUUACCAACAGAAUAAGCACCGGCUAACUUCGUG